This 307-nucleotide long non-coding RNA is filed under the name Mytilus galloprovincialis (Mediterranean mussel). The record is from RNAcentral. Lineage: Eukaryota; Metazoa; Mollusca; Bivalvia; Mytilida; Mytilidae.
AUACAUGAAUAUGCCGUGCGGUGUACAGGAGUAAGUAAAAGUUCUUAAUAAGAAAAUUAAAUACACAAUAUUUAUGUCUGUGUGUCUAGGACCAGUUUUCCCGACAUAAUUGGCAUCUACAUCAUGAACUCUUUUUGUCAAAUUUCGGUAAAGUAACUAGAAACUUUCAUUUUAUAGACAUAGAUACAUAUUAUUUUUUUUCUGAGUCCCUUAAAAUGUACAUGCAUAUUCAUAAAAAUAGGUUCUAUAUAACUUUACACAAUGUCAUAUGAAAAUGAUUAAUAAGACAGUGUAUUAGCAAUAUUUU